This 486-nucleotide ribosomal RNA is filed under the name uncultured bacterium. RNAcentral describes it as "bacterial SSU rRNA". It matches the Rfam family "Bacterial small subunit ribosomal RNA", at positions 32 to 509 of the family's 1533-position model. The record is from RNAcentral.
AAUCAACGCUGGCGGCGUGCCUAACACAUGCAAGUCGAACGGGAAAGCGGGCUUCGGCCUGUGAGUAGAGUGGCGGACGGGUGAGUAACACGUGGGUAACCUGCCCGGCUGAGGGGGAUAACUUUCCGAAAGGGGAGCUAAUACCGCAUAAGCUCUCGGGAGCGAUUUCGAGAGGAAAGCCGCAAGGCGCAGUCGGAGGGGCUCGCGCUCGAUUAGCUAGUUGGUGGGGUAAGGGCUCACCAAGGCGACGAUCGAUAGCCGGUCUGAGAGGACGGACGGCCACACUGGAACUGAGACACGGUCCAGACUCCUACGGGAGGCAGCAGUCGAGAAUAGUCUACAAUGGUCGGAAGACUGAUAGUGCGACGCCGCGUGAACGAUGAAUCCCUUCGGGGUUAAAGUUCUUUUAUAUGUGAGCAGUGCUUCUUAUAUUAACGUAUGGGGAAGAGAUAUUAGCAUAUGAAUAGCAACGGCUAACUCCGUGCC